UGGGGAAUAUUGCGCAAUGGGCGCAAGCCUGACGCAGCAACGCCGCGUGAGUGAUGAAGGCCUUCGGGUCGUAAAGCUCUGUCGACAGGGACGAUGGGUGAUUUGUUUAAUAAACGAGUCAUUUGACGGUACCUGUAAAGGAAGCACCGGCUAACUCUGUGCCAGCAGCCGCGGUAAGACAGAGGGUGCAAGCGUUGUUCGGAAUCAUUGGGCGUAAAGGGCGCGUAGGCCGUUUUGUGUGUCGAAUGUGAAAUACCUGGGCUUAACCGAGGAAGUGCAUUCGAAACUACAGAACUAGAAUCCCAAAGAGGUUGGUGGAAUUCCCAGUGUAGAGGUGAAAUUCGUAGAUAUUGGGAGGAACAUCGGUGGCGAAGGCGACCAACUGGUUGGUGAUUGACGCUGAGGCGCGAAAGCGUGGGGAGCAAACAG
RNAcentral lists this ribosomal RNA (429 nucleotides) under uncultured bacterium. RNAcentral's name for it is "bacterial SSU rRNA". It matches the Rfam family "Bacterial small subunit ribosomal RNA", at positions 355 to 775 of the family's 1533-position model. The record is from RNAcentral.